UGCAAACGCCCACUCGUCGAAGUUUUCGC
RNAcentral lists this non-coding RNA (29 nucleotides) under Bombyx mori (domestic silkworm). Lineage: Eukaryota; Metazoa; Arthropoda; Insecta; Lepidoptera; Bombycidae. The record is from RNAcentral.